GUUCUUAUAGUUGAAAUACAACNAUGGUUUUUCAUAUCAUUAGU
RNAcentral lists this transfer RNA (44 nucleotides) under Panthera uncia (snow leopard). RNAcentral describes it as "partial tRNA-Glu". Lineage: Eukaryota; Metazoa; Chordata; Mammalia; Carnivora; Felidae. The record is from RNAcentral.